CGGGGUACACGAGCGGCGAACGGGUGAGUAACACGUGAGCAACCUGCCCCUGACUCCGGGAUAAGCGGUGGAAACGCCGUCUAAUACCGGAUACGACCCGCCACCUCAUGGUGGAGGGUGGAAAGUUUUAUCGGUCAGGGAUGGGCUCGCGGCCUAUCAGCUUGUUGGUGGGGUAACGGCCUACCAAGGCGAUUACGGGUAGCCGGCCUGAGAGGGCGACCGGCCACACUGGGACUGAGACACGGCCCAGACUCCUGCGGGAGGCAGCAGUGGGGAAUAUUGCACAAUGGGCGAAAGCCUGAUGCAGCGACGCCGCGUGGGGGAUGACGGCCUUCGGGUUGUAAACCUCUUUUACCACCAACGCAGGCUCCACGUUCUCGUGGGGUUGACGGUAGGUGGGGAAUAAGGACCGGCUAACUACGUGCCAGCAGCCGCGGUAAUACGUAGGGUCCGAGCGUUGUCCGGAAUUAUUGGGCGUAAAGAGCUCGUAGGCGGCAUGUCGCGUCUGCUGUGAAAGACCGGGGCUUAACUCCGGUUCUGCAGUGGAUACGGGCAUGCUAGAGGUAGGUAGGGGAGACUGGAAUUCCUGGUGUAGCGGUGAAAUGCGCAGAUAUCAGGAGGAACACCGGUGGCGAAGGCGGGUCUCUGGGCCUUACCUGACGCUGAGGAGCGAAAGCAUGGGGAGCGAACAGGAUUAGAU
This 700-nucleotide ribosomal RNA is filed under the name Bacillota bacterium. Its description in RNAcentral is "bacterial SSU rRNA". It matches the Rfam family "Bacterial small subunit ribosomal RNA", at positions 83 to 783 of the family's 1533-position model. Lineage: Bacteria; Bacillati; Bacillota. The record is from RNAcentral.